CGACUUCUCAAGAGUUGACCUCGAAUCAGGUAGGACUACCCGCUGAACUUAAGCAUAUCAAUAAGCGGAGGA
RNAcentral lists this ribosomal RNA (72 nucleotides) under Myriogenospora atramentosa. RNAcentral describes it as "partial 28S ribosomal RNA". The stretch from base 16 to 72 matches the Rfam family "Eukaryotic large subunit ribosomal RNA", at positions 1 to 57 of the family's 3401-position model. Lineage: Eukaryota; Fungi; Ascomycota; Sordariomycetes; Hypocreales; Clavicipitaceae. The record is from RNAcentral.